This 1092-nucleotide ribosomal RNA is filed under the name Roseibium aggregatum. RNAcentral's name for it is "bacterial SSU rRNA". It matches the Rfam family "Bacterial small subunit ribosomal RNA", at positions 49 to 1242 of the family's 1533-position model. The record is from RNAcentral. Lineage: Bacteria; Pseudomonadati; Pseudomonadota; Alphaproteobacteria; Hyphomicrobiales; Stappiaceae.
UUACCAUGCAGUCGACGAACUCUGUCCGAGUUAGUGGCAUACGGGUGAGUAACGCGUGGGAACCUACCUUUAAGUACGGAACAACAGUUGGAAACGACUGCUAAUACCGUAUGUGCCCUAUGGGGGAAAGAUUUAUCGCCUAAGGAUGGGCCCGCGUUGGAUUAGCUAGUUGGUGGGGUAAAGGCCUACCAAGGCGACGAUCCAUAGCUGGUCUGAGAGGAUGAUCACCCACACUGGGACUGAGACACUGCCCAGACUCCUACGGGAUGCAGCAGUGGGGAAUAUUGGACAAUGGGCGCAAGCCUGAUCCAGCCAUGCCGCGUGAGUGAUGAAAGCCCUAGGGUUGUAAAGCUCUUUCAGCGAGGACGAUAAUGACGUUACUCUCACAAGAAGCCACGGCUAACUUCGUGCCAGCGGCCGCGAUAAUACGAACGGGGCUAGCGUUGUUCGGAAUCACUGGGCGUAAAGCGCACGUAUGCGGACUUUUAAGUCACGGGUGAAAUCCCGGGGCUCAACCCCGGAACUGCCUUUGAUACUGGAAGUCUUGAGUCCGAGAGAGGUGAGUGGAACUCCGAGUGUAGAGGUGAAAUUCAUACAUAUUCUGAAGAACACCAGUGGCAAAGGCGGCUCACUGGCUCGAUACUGACGCUGAGGUGCGAAACCGUGGGGAGCAAACAGGAUUAGAUACCCUGGUAGUCCACACCGUACACGAUGGAAGCUAGCCGUCAGUAGCAUGCUACUGGUGGCACACUAACGCAUUACCUUCCCGCCAGGGAGUACGGUCCAAGAUUAAACUCAACGCAUUGACGGAGCCCGCACAGCGGUGCACCUGUGGUUAAUUCGAACCACGCGCAGACCUUCCAGCCUUGACUUUGGGGCACUUCAGACAUGAAGGUUCCUUCUGGACGCAAGACAGGUGCUGCUGGUUUCCUCAGCCCUGUCCGAGAUGUGGGUUAAGUCCGCACCAGCGCACCCUCGCCUUAUUGCCCCAUUCGUUGGGACCCUAGGGGAUGCCGCGAAAAUCAAAAGGAAGCGGGAAGACUCCGCCUCAUGCCCUAAGGUUGGGCUAACCCAGUUAAAUGGCGUUAACGU